Synchiropus splendidus (mandarinfish) is the source of this 4252-nucleotide RNA transcript. It is a transcript of the gene named aurora kinase B, with no coding region annotated. The record is from RefSeq and is a predicted model, not a curated record. Lineage: Eukaryota; Metazoa; Chordata; Actinopteri; Syngnathiformes; Callionymidae. The transcript is spliced from 4 exons.
UCACAGCGAAACCAGUCCGUGUAACAGCUUCGACGGUUUUGUUUACAAAAUGGACGACUAUGUAACCUGUAACUUGGACUACUUUCCAGAGAACAUAUUGAUAGAUGUGUUAUCGUAUUUGAGUGUCCGUGAACUUGUCCGAGCCGGGAGAGUGUGUAAGAGGUGGAGGCGACUUGUAAAAGACCAAAGAUUAUGGAGAGUUGUGGAUCUGAGGGCAUGGAAAGGGGUGACAUCACGAAUACUUUGGGUUCUUCUGCGCCAAUACCUGGGCUGUGGCCUCAGGUGUCUACGCUUGCGUGGUUUGCUGCUUUCUGCCCGAGGAGGCACCUUCCUCUCAGAGUCUUGGCUUAAGGCAUUGUCCUCAAAGUGCCCUCGUCUUAAUAAGCUCUACCUCCUCCAUGCAGACUUGAGGAGUCUUCCAAAUUGCCGGUUCCUUCCUCCUUCUUUGAAGGUCCUGGAGCUGCGCGGCUGUGAGCUGCCACAGGGCUUCUUCAGCCAAAGUCUCACAACUGCACCUGCAAGUGCUGAAGCAACCUCCAGUGUUGCUGCACGGCAGAAAUCGAAAGGCAAAGGGAUAGGGAGUACGUCAGGAAUCUCAAUCGAGAGGUUAGUUCUUAACUAUGUCCCAUCAUUCACUGACGAGCAUCUUCAGAGUCUCACUACGUGGGAGCAGCUCACUCGGUUAGAGUUGCAUGACACAUUCCGUGUGACCGCUAACGCACUGAGAAACUGUGCCGCUAAGGAAGGUGCUGCCGGCAUAGAAGGCUUAUUUCGGCUCAAGUUUUUAGAAAUUUGCAUCACGGGGCGGCCAGGCUACCAGGUACAGAUGGCUUCUCUGGGGCUUGGUGCAGGUUGGCUUGGGCUAGAGGAGCUCAGCCUGGGUGGAAAGGAGGUAGGGCCUGGCUUACUCUGUGCCAGCCGAUUGAAAGACCUGAAGCAUCUAUGUCUGCGGGCUUGCACCCUCAGCGAGAUGCAGAUUGUACGUGGUUGCAGAAUGCUGCGGGGGCUCCGGAGAUUAGAGUUCCUUGAUGUGACCUUUCAGCCCAGACAAUGUCCACCAGCCGAGGAGGGAGAAGGUGGUGGUGCUGAAGGGGAAGCUCAGGCAGUUGAAGAAGAUGGUGACAAAGAAGUAAACAGCGAUGAAAACAAACCAGACACCAAUGAUCCCAUCCCACGUCUACGUCGCUCAUUGGCUGUCUUGUUACCCUACUGCUCUUUAGUAUUCACCAACUGCUCAGUUCAGAUAAACACAGACUAAACCGACCACUUUUUGCAAAACAGUGGCUGACCUCAACAAUACAUCUUUUAAGGAAAAGCCAUUCCAUGGACUGCUGUGGUUUUGCCAAAAUGCAACUGUUUCAAAAUCACUUUUCUGAAGGGUACAAUGCCUAAUUCAGGUUCCCUACAUUUUGACGCUGAGAAUGCACAAAGACCCAUCGUUAAAAAAGAGAAAAUAUUAUCAUCCCAAUCCCUGGUUUCAAACAGGUGUACUGUAUGGCAUCACCUAGUUUCACGUGCUGGCAUUCUUCUUUUUCCCUCCUAUGUAGCGGAGGUCGGGAUAAUUUUUUACUGCACCAUUGUGACAGCCAAAACCUUAUGGGCUUAAUUUUCUUUAAAAUGUUUUAUACACUCAUCGACUCUUAAAUGAACAAACAAGAUAUACGUUUUAAGUUACUGAAAAUGACAUUGACAUUUGGCGGUAACUCAAGAUUAAAUGUUUUUGUGACAUUUAAAUAAAAAACAUUAGUUAGUAAACACAAAAGGCAUAUUUGCUUUAUCCCUUCUUUACAGACAUCGGGAGUCAUAACCUUCCUGUUUUUCCACAUUACUCCUGGUGUGUUUUUAAUUAAAACAUAGAAACCUACAAAUCUCAAAAUGAAAAUGAGGUUGAAAAAAAACAAACAAAGAUGUGUAACUGCUAAUACGGUAGAUUAAAUGGCUGGUAGUAUAUAUAAGCCAUUGCUGUUCCUGAGACAUACAGUAAUGCUUUCACCACAAACAGUCAGCAACAAGCCACCUGCUUCCUUUUACUUUUUUAAUAAGUACCAGGCGUGACAUGCAGCCUGUUUACGUACACGUUUUCUCACUCUUAAUUUGCUUUCUUUUACACUUGAAAUUAAAUGAUUUAAAUGGAAUUAUCUUUUCAAUGUUUUCAUUAUUUCCCAUUAAGAAAACAAUAAAUUGCCUUUGAGACAUUGUGGUGUGCCUUUAUUGUGGUGUAUUCUCAAAUCGAUGCCAGUACUUUAAUUCACACAAAAAUAAUAAAGAUUGGCUACAUUUGUUUGACAUGUUCUAAAGUUCCGGUGCGCAGAUAGUCAUUCUUGUUUCUUUCGUCAUCAACUUUGCAUCAUAAAGUGGUCUACUUUCAGCCUUCCUCCCGCCAGUACGGUCAGAGUUUUCGGAUACCAUGUGGUACAGAAGCAUCACUUCUGUGAGGUUAAUGUCUCCAAAGCUAUGGACAUAUGGUUCAUUACUAAAGGCACCGAAGGAGAGUUCCUGAGUUGGAGAGGUAUAGAAGAUGCUGGAACCUCAAAGAUAGAUGGCCUUUAUUAGAGGGAAAUUCAACAUGUCACAGUGUGGUGUCAACGAAAUGAUGAUGAACGUACCCAAAACAUGGGUACGGAGAUGCUGACCCAGAUGGCACCGUCGUGGGUGGUGGAAGAUAUGGACACCAUGGAUUACCUGGCGAGAAGCAAGACAAGGAAGCAGUGAGGCUUGUGCAGCUAUAUGGCCAAAGAUGGGGCGGGCAGAGAAGAACCUCUACAACAUGGGCCUUUCAGCAGAAGCUGAAGCUGACAAAGCCUGUUGUGAGGAGCAUGAGGAUCUGGACAAGUGAAGCUAAAGAGGAGCUGCAGGCUUGUAUGGAGACCACAGACUGGGAGGUGUUUGGGGCUGCGACCAAUAAUCUGGAUGAGUAUACAGACGCUGUGACUUCAUGGUUCAGCUACUGUGAAGAGUGCAUAGUUUCAACGCGCACCAAGGUGAGUUAUGCAAAUGACAAACCUUGGUUCACAGCUAAACUCAGCCAGAUUAGAUGGGAGAAGGAGGCAGCUCGCAGCUGGACUGCCCAGCAACCUAUGCCAGGAUCUUGUUUGCAGACUUCUGCUCUGCUUUUAACACAAUUCUUGCAGCUCUGCUUGAAGACAAGCUUCGCCAGCGCAUCGUGCGUUCUGCUGAGAAGGUGAUCGGUUGCAGCCUGCCACCUCUGCAUGACCUCUAUGUCUCUAGGACCCAGAGACGUGCAGGUGGGAUCAGAGCCGACCCUUCUCACCCAGGUCAUGGACUGUUUGUUCCUCUUCCCUCCAGUAGGAGGCUACGGUCCAUCCAGACCAGAACCUCCUGCCUCAGCAACAGCUUCUUCCCCUCUGCUGUCAGACUGUUGAACUCUUGAUCAGCCUUUGUUGUUUGCGGGUUAUUUUAUUUUAUAUAUUUCUAUUAUAUUUUAUUGACAGCACUUUAUUCCAAAACACUUUCCUAGUUGGUGGGAUCCCCACUGACCAUGGCAAUAUAUUUGAUUCUGAUUCUGCAAAAUAGUAUUCAUCCAAUCCUAACCCUUAAAUUUGGCAUGUGGACACAUCAUUAUUAUAAAAUACAUAAACCCUUGUAAAUGAACUUCAGCCAUUUACAUGUAAUAGAACAGAAAGUAGUCUAUUUCACCCACUGACAAUUGGAAGUUUAAAAGUACCCAAUGGUGGUAAAAGCGAAGGAACUUCGCUUAAGGAGUGUGAAUGAUAGUCAUUUCUUUAUUAUUAUUAUUACAUUAGUAUUAUUAUUAAUAAUAAUAGUAAUAAUAAUAAUAAUAAUAAUAUUAACGUAUUUUUGAUAUGUAAUCAUUGAAACAACAAUACUUAUAUUUUAUGACCGUAUUGCUGUUGUCGAUUUAUGCCCUAGUCUGAAUUAUUUUAUCCAAAACAAAACUAAAUUCAUCAGUAAAAAUUCCUAUCCAUUAACUGGUUAUCAACUCGCUUAUCAUUCUGAUUUGGAUAAAUUCACGAAAACACAACGUUUAUUUCCUGUCCGGAAAUGGUGAGGGGGUGGGUCUUUGCGUAUGAGCCAAUCAUGUGUUUCCUAGUGCCUGCUCUUUGUCCAAUAGGAGCUACAGAUGCGUUGCAAGCAGACCAAUGAGAUCGGCCACAUUACAGACUUUUGAAAACGUUGGCGGCCAAAGCAAUUCGAAUCGUACAGCAGACCGAGAGCUUUGUCAGGUUUAAGUGGGAGGAUUACACGGACUGUUCUGUUCGGCAACAUGCAG